Molecule: transfer RNA, 73 nt
Filed under: Felis catus (domestic cat)
Lineage: Eukaryota; Metazoa; Chordata; Mammalia; Carnivora; Felidae
Also listed under: 3 other names
Rfam family: tRNA
About the family: Transfer RNA (tRNA) molecules are approximately 80 nucleotides in length. Their secondary structure includes four short double-helical elements and three loops (D, anti-codon, and T loops). Further hydrogen bonds mediate the characteristic L-shaped molecular structure. tRNAs have two regions of fundamental functional importance: the anti-codon, which is responsible for specific mRNA codon recognition, and the 3' end, to which the tRNAs corresponding amino acid is attached (by aminoacyl-tRNA synthetases). tRNAs cope with the degeneracy of the genetic code in two manners: having more than one tRNA (with a specific anti-codon) for a particular amino acid; and 'wobble' base-pairing, i.e. permitting non-standard base-pairing at the 3rd anti-codon position.
Source: Rfam by way of RNAcentral
GUCUGGCUGACUCAGUUGGUACAGUAUCAGACUCUUGAUCUCGGGGUCUUGAGUUCAAGCCCCAUGCUGGACG